RNAcentral lists this ribosomal RNA (463 nucleotides) under uncultured bacterium. Its description in RNAcentral is "partial 16S ribosomal RNA". It matches the Rfam family "Bacterial small subunit ribosomal RNA", at positions 28 to 507 of the family's 1533-position model. The record is from RNAcentral.
GACGAACGCUGGCGGCGUGCUUAACACAUGCAAGUCGAACGGUGAACCUCUUCUGAGGGGAUCAGUGGCGAACGGGUGAGUAACACGUGGGCAACCUGCCCCCGGCUCUGGGAUAACUCCAAGAAAUUGGGGCUAAUACCGGAUGUUCACCGCUUCCCGCAUGGGUGGUGGUGGAAAGGGUUUCCGGCUGGGGAUGGGCCCGCGGCCUAUCAGCUUGUUGGUGGGGUAGUGGCCUACCAAGGCGACGACGGGUAGCCGGCCUGAGAGGGUGACCGGCCACACUGGGACUGAGACACGGCCCAGACUCCUACGGGAGGCAGCAGUGGGGAAUAUUGCGCAAUGGGCGGAAGCCUGACGCAGCGACGCCGCGUGGGGGAUGACGGCCUUCGGGUUGUAAACCUCUUUCAGCAGGGACGAAGCGCAAGUGACGGUACCUGCAGAAGAAGCACCGGCCAACUACGUG